CUGAAAGAUGGGAGGAGUGGCAAAAAGAGGAGGUGUUCCGCCAAGAUUUCAACCCUAUUCAUCAUCCAAGUACCAAUUGGAUCAUAGACUCAACUUCUCAUAUUCCUCCGGAUGAGUUGUCCGGUCCCAGAUGAUAUGCUCGUUGGUUCCGUCCCCUUGUAUACAUGUAAGAAGCCUUCAGAGGACUAGAGAAGGUCCAUUUUGUAUUUCAGUGAUACCACAUUUGUGCAUAUGUUUUGUCUUUGUUUUCGAUUUUGUUUUUGUCUCGCUUAUUUUUAAGAUCACAAAAAUGGAGCUGGUGCUGUUGUAAUUUUUAUAGGGUUAACUGGCAUUACGAAGUUAUAUGGUGCUAGCAGGAAUUAGGAAGGGCCAUAAAAGCACCCAUUCCUGAUGAUUUAUGUAUCUAUCCAGAAAUUAGUCCAAAUUGUGGAAUAAAUAAUCAUUCUGAACUUAUAACUAUCUAUAUUUUUGAGUGUUCCUAUAGAACCCAUAGAUACGAUAAGGACACUAGGUCAAUAUGAAGAAGAAGCAUUGCGAGCCGGAUGAGUUUACGUGCACGAUUAUGAUCAGAAUGGUUGGGAAAUUGGGUAAGGGCGACGAGUGUCUUGGGUUGUUCCAGGAGAUGGUGAACAAGGGUCGCGCUCCGAAUAUGAUGUUUUAUAGUACUAUGAUUCAGGCUCUUGCUCGGAGCAAGAUGGUUGACAAGGCCGUCGUUGUGUUCUCGAAAAUGGUACAGAACAAUUGCCGGCCUAAUGAAUUUACGUACAGUGUGGUUUUGAAUCUUUUGGUUGCAGAAGGGCAGCUGGGUGGGUUUGAUGAGGUGGUGGGGAUGUCGAAGAAGUACAUGACGAAGUCGAUAUAUGCAUAUCUUGUGAGGACAUUGAGUAAAUUGAGCCAUGCCUUGGAAGCUCACAGGUUGUUCUGCAACAUGUGGAGCUUCCACGACAUGGGGGAUCGGGAUGCAUAUACUUCAAUGUUGGAGUGUUUGUGCAGUGCAGGUAAAACUGCAGAGGCGGUUGACAUGCUAAGUAACAUUCAUGAGAAGGGGAUAACUACUGAUACUAUCAUGUACAAAGUUUUGGCAGCUCUUGGAAGGUUGAAGCAGAUACCCCAUCUUCAUGAACUGUACGAAAGGAUGAAACUUGAUGGGCCUGAACCGGACAUAUUUACCUACAACAUUAUGAUUUUGAGCUUUGGUAGAGCUGGGAAGGUUCAUGAGGCUGUGACGAUAUUCGAACAUCUCGAGAAUAGUGAUUGUAAACCGGAUAUUAUCUCUUUACAAUUCGUUGAUCAAUUGCCUUGGGAAAAAUGGUGAUGUGGAUGAAGCCCACAUGAGGUUUAAGGAGAUGCAAGAGAAGGGUUUUAGCCCUGAUGUCGUCGCCUACAGCACUCUGAUCGAGUGCUUUGGCAAGACGGAUAGGGUUGAAAUGGCAUGCAGGCUGUUCGACAACAUGCUUGCUCAAGGCUGCUAUCCGAAUAUAGUGACAUACAACAUCUUGCUUGAUUGUCUUGAGAGGUGUGGGAGGAUGCGAAACUUAAGCAGCAAGGGUUGACACCGGAUUGGAUUACAUACGCAGUGCUUGAACGCUUGCAGAGUGGUUCACAUAGGAGAGUUAGGGUUCGUAGGCAGAGUCCGAUCACAGGUUGGGUUGUGAGCCCUUUAAGGUGAUGAAUGGUGUAGAUAUACCGAAUUUUGCAUUAUUGCUUGUUUGGAGCCAGUUUCCAGUUCCUCCCAAGGCCGAAGCAUGUGGCUGCUGCUGCGACUACUCAAGAAACUUGCUUCCCACGGAGCCAUCACGACCAGGACCCGUUUUGUUCGCGGAAUGAGUUACUUGGGCAUGAAAAUUCAUGCUCAUUCCUGUGAGAUAGAAGCUGCCCCACUUGAGGUUUCGACGAAAAAUGAUUCUCACUUGCGGAACAUCACAAAUUUAGUAACAGAUUCACAAGGGUUGUUGAAAAUUUCAAUAAUUGAUGUGGAAGCAUGUCUUGUAUUUCAGAUUUGGUGUCUCACUGUCUUUCAGAAUUGAACUUUACGUGAACAAUGAACUAAACGCGUUUAUGCGCUGAAUUGGGUUACUAAGUUGCGCUGAAUUGGGUUACUAAGUUGGACGGUACUCACUUCAUAAGACAACUCAAAUAUUACCUAAGUUCGCAAAUAAAUCCAGUAAAAGUUACUAGUACAAAAUGUCAGACUGGAAGCAAGGAAGGAUCAGAAACAAAUCAAAUAGCUCCGGAUGUUUUAUCACACCACAAAAUCUACAAAAUUUUUCUACCACUCAUCGUCUAUCACAAGCUACACUUGAAAUGCCAUACGAGUGGAUCCCAAUAAGUUAUUGCAGUAAAUCAUACUUUUAAGUUCCAAACAAACCUGCGCAGUAAACCAAGCUCGGAGUACUUGAUCAACGCUUGACCCACUGGAAGCUCUUCCUUGCUUUUGCUUUUCCGGGUUUUUUCCUUUCCACCACACGCGAGUCCCUUGUCAAGAAACCAGCUGGAAACACAAACAAGUUGCCGGGUUAGCAAGAAAGGGGCAGAUAGAUAUUGCAAGGUUAAGAUCUGUUUCUCCUUAUAAGCCAGAAAUAACCAGCGGACAAAGGGGAAGAGAAAUAUUUACAUUCUUUUAGAGCAGGACGCAAAUCAGGUUCCCAAUUUUGCAAGGCCCUGCUCACUCCUAAUUGAAUUGCUCCAACUUGACCUGGAAAAAACACCUUUUUAAUUUUCCAUAUUUAACACAAACAAAAACGUUUAUGCAAAGAAUUAACGUACCGAACAUAUUAAACAUUGUUCUUUAAAAAAGAGUUACUAUUGAGAGUAACAAUUUGCACACACAGUAUUUUUGUACUCAACUACUAUAUAGGAAGAAGAGCCAGCAUCAAAAAGUACGAAACAAUCUUUAGAAAUUACAAUCAAUUCGUAUUUAAUUCUGUCGAGAUGUUGGCUCCAAUUUUCUUCUUCCUCUGCUCUGUUUCAGUUUAAUUAUUUGAUGUGAAAUGAAAAUCUAACACAAUUAAUUCACCCUAACAACCUAGGAAGAAAAAGACACUCGCAUUCAUUUGACUUCAUGAGAGCAAGGGGAAGAAAAGCUUUACUAACAUAUGGAACUGGACAGAAAUUUGUUUUCCAUGAGAGAUUGGCAGUGCAGGUAGUAAGUAGCGAGGCAAAUUUGUGGUUUUCUGGCAUAUAAAGCUAUAGAAUUGCAAGUUCAAGGAUAACGGAGGGAAACAGCAGUUGAAUUGGAUCUCAAACAAGUCAAUGUCAAGGAAAAAAGUCAACAUAUAAAUCAAAAUAAAGUGUGUAGCAACAAACUUAGGCUUACCUGUGGUGCCACCUCCUUGGACACUACAAGCGAUGUCCCAAAGGCCCAACGUUUUUGUCUCAGAGAAAGGUCGGAGGAGAGCAGCACGAUGAUCAAGCAUUGGAAAAUAGGUGUCAAAUUGUUUAUCAUUAAUUGUGAAUUUACCAUUACCAGGUUGAAUCCAGACACGUGCUACACUACAUUUCCUUCUUCCUGUUCCAUAAGCUCUCCCCUUGUCGUCUACUGUUCUCACUCUUGCUUUGGCAACUUCCUCCUGUUUCUGGCGCUCUAUUUCAGCUCUCGAGGAUUUUCUGGUAUUUUUCUCAUAACGAAUGUCUUCAAUCUCUGAAAGAGGGGGCAAUCCCUUUAUCCCUUGAAAAUCCUUCAAUGCAAUCAAAGUGUCAAGCAUUUCGUCUGUGAUUCCAGAUGCAGCAAUAAGGUCACCAAAGGCACGAUUCGGACCUGCAGUUACCAUACUGAAUCAGUAUAACACCUAAAGAGUCACCUAGCUGAUAAAUGAAUCAGCAACUGCAUUCAAAACAGAGUACUAUUUGAACUAUAAAAGUUCGAGAAAGCCGAAGAAAUAAUCUUAUCCCAUGUAGAGUGCUUGCAGCUAAACCUAACAAGAUACCUGAUCAUUUUAACUCCUCUCACUAAUCAAUAAGUAGUGUAGUUCCCAAAAUCAAAAGCACAACAAUAGACACACCAAUAUUUUAAUGAACUUGCAGACCUCCCAACAACGAAACAUGCAAUUGGUUGGUGCCCAAAUCAACCCAAAAGGAUUUAGUACAGUACAAGUUGUUCCACUAAGCUAUACACCUUCCUACUCUUAAGCAUAUCAAUGUUAUCCAGAAUUUAGGAAAAAUAACUAGCCUUUGAGAACAGCAGUAAGCUCCUGCUCCUCUUUCUCAAGCCUCUUAGCCUGUUCAGCCUUCUCAAUCUCCUCUCUACUUGUCUCACUGUCAAUGACAGUAACAGUCUGUACACCCUCUCCGAUAUCGAACAAGUCACUCUUCGCCUCCUCUCCCAAGCUCCACAUCUUGUACUCCUGCGAUGUAUCCCACUCCUCGCCUCCUUUCCCCUUCAACCAGUCGGAAUCGGCCUCGCUGGAUUCAACUUCUGCAAUCCCGGAAAUGUCCCCGGAGCUCUGGCCGAAUAAAAGGUCAAACUUUCCAUCGGUUUCCUGAGAAAGCCUCCAAACAUCUGAUUGGGAGGGACCCUUACCAUCGUCACUGGAGAAGAACCUUGGAGUGAAAGUAGCGAAAAGAGGGUUUUGGGGUUGGGGGAAGGGAUGGAAAUUUGGGGAGAUUAGGGUUAGGCGAGAGAAAUGUGAGGGUUUGGGUAGAAGACGAGAGAGCAUGGUGAUGAAGCAGAGACUUGACAAAUAUUUUGAAAUUUAGGGUUUAACAAGACAAAUACGAUCUUCAUACAACCCUUUACGGUUGGAGAAGGAAGGAGAGGGAGAACAGGAUCCCGUAGGGGGUUUUCAUUCCAUCGGCAUCGCAAGAUAAUGGGGUUUCAGUUUUGAACGGAAGUUUCUAUCCCUGUUUUUUUUUUUAGAAAUUUGAAAAAAUAAUCAAAAUUUUGAACACAAAUAGAAUUAUAACCACUAUUAUAAUUUUCAAUCAUUUUAAUCAAAAAUUGAUAAGAAAGUAAAAAACAAGCUGCUGAAGAUGUUCCCGCAUAUUCGAUUGCUCCAAAGCCUCCUAUCCAUCCCUUCCUCCCGCACUUACCUACCUUGCCAUGAUUUUUUAUUGAUAUAUCAGUUUUCAUUUUCAUAAGUAAUUUUAAUUUUAAUUGCUUGGGUCCUCUGGACCUAAUGCCUCAAGGAAAGAAUGGAGACGAUCGAUGUCGGUUGGGUCUUGUUGAUGCACAAAAUCGGAGGUCUUGGUACAACGUAAAUCUGACUGUGAAUCUGCAUGAAAUGUAAAUAACACAAGAUGUAUCGUGGUUCACCCCAAAGUUUGGGCUACGUCUACACUGAUUGUAUUGUAUUUUUCUGAGAAGUGAGGGAGAGAGCUCUGAGAGUGAGAGCUUUAAGAGGGGGUGAGAAGGGUGAGAAGGCUCCAGAAAUAGCCUCCCCUAAUUGUGAGGGUGAGGGGUCCUUUUAUAGAAUAAGGACUCCUCACUUAUUACAUAUUUGCCCCUUCUUUUAUUACAUAAUUACAUUUAAGUCCCCCGAGUAUUUAUACGAGGUCUAAAUACGGAGGCCCUAAAUAUGGUAUAAACAGUAGUCCCCCAAGUCUUCAGUCAAGAGAGUCUUUUGGCUGGAGACUUGAAAUUCAGUCCAUGUGUGGGCCGAAGUAACUAGAUGUUGUCUUGAACUGAUGCUCGAUAUGAGGCGGUGCUCAAAGUGAAAUGAUGCUCAACUAUAAGUAGCACAUGUUGCGAGGCUACUCGGCUUGUGGCUUAUGUUGCUUUGGUUGGGCUCGGCUUGUGGCGCUUGAAGGUGAGCGGGUCCCUUUUAUAGAAUAAAGGUUCGCUCCUCAAUACAUAAAUGAUGGGUUAGGAGUGAUGCUCGCGGCGAGGCGGUUGCUCAACUGGCGGCGUUGCUCUCUAAUGAAGGUGAUGGAGUCCCUUUUAUAGAAUAAGGGCUCGCUCCUCAAUACAUAAGUGAUGGGUUAAGAGUGAUGCUCACGGCGAGGCGGUUGCUCAGCUGGCGGCGUUGCUCUCUCAUGAAGGUGAGGGAGUCCCUUUUAUAGAAUAAGGGCUCGCUCCUCAAUACAUAAGUGAUGGGUAAGUUUCCCAAGUAUUUUUCAUGAGUGCUCUCUAAUGAAAGUGAGGGAGUCCCUUUUAUAGAAUAAGGGUUCGCUCCUCAGUACAUAGAUAAUGGGCUAAGUCCCCCAAGUAUUUUUCAUAAGGCCCAAUUGAGGCCCAAUAUGUGGUACCUAAUGUAGUCCCUCAAGUCUUCGGUCAAUAAAGUCUAUUGGCUAGAGACUUCAAAUUGAAUCCAUGUACGGGCCAAUGUGGCGGUUGUUCCAAGGUGGUAUUUGUAUACCCUGUACUGAAGCUUUGUAGGUGAAGCUUUGCAAGUAAAACUUUGAAGCUAGAGCUCUGUAAAUGACACUUUUGAAGCUAGAGCUCUGUAAAUGAAGUUUUUGAAGCUGAUUGACAUGAGUGAUGCUCAUGAAUGUUUAUGUUGAUUGACAUGUGUGAUGCUCAUGGAUGUUGUCAUGAGUGAUGCUCAUGAAUGUUAACAUGAGUGAUGCUCAUGAAUGUUGACAUGAAUGAUGGUCAUGAAUGUUUAUGUAUGAUUGUCAUGAGUGAUACUCAUGAAUGUUUAUGUAUGAAUGACAUGAGUAAUGCUCAUAUAUAAUUUGGAGUACUGUGUGUACUUUUGAUCACCUGGUUGGUGGCAUGAAGGAGAGUACGGGUUGUACAUUUCAUCACCUGGUUGGUGGCAUGAAUGGCUAGUUGCCAAAUGAUAUUAGAGUACGGGUUGUACAUUUCAUCACCUGGUUGGUGGUAAUAGCGGCAGGUUGCCGAAUAAUUUUAGAGUACUGGGCGUACUUUUGAUCACCUGGUUGGUGGUAAUAGCGGCGGGUUGCCGAAUAAUUGAGGAGUACUGAGCGUACUUUUGAUAACCUGGUUGGUGCUAUUUCGGGCUUAUGGGCUUUUGCCCUCUACACAACAUUCCAACCCAUUUAUUUUGGGCUUUGCUGUUUUUUUUUUGUUUUUUUUAUUUUUUUUAUUUUUUUUUAUUUUACCCUCUGAUGGGGUUUAUACAUAUUACACUCUGAUGAGGUUUAUACAUAUUACCCUCUGAUGGGGUUUAUACAGAUGUUUCCGAAAGAUAAGGAAAAUAAAUUACAUCAUUCUGGUAGGGUGUUUAUUCCUUGCUUUUGCUUUCUCUUUUUCUUUCGUUUUCUGUUUUUUUUUUUUUUUUUUGCUUUUCCACCACUCUCUCUGUCUCUUCACCUGACAAACAAAAUGAAUCGUAAUCAUAGGAAAAUUUUUGCUUUUCUUCUUUUCUCUUUUCCUUUUCCUUUUCUUGAUCUCCCCGCUCAUUCUCUGUCCACCCAUGUUGCUUUGCAAGGUCAUCUUUUGCUUUUCUUGACAGAUGAUUUCACAUGGCUGUGACUGCUCCUUCCUUGCUCUGGGUCCUCAUUUUACGCUUUAAUGUAUGCUUGGAAGAUUACCUCUCGAUCCUCAUCGUUGGGGUAUCCAUCCAUGAGCUGAUCGUGUACAGUGACAAAACCAAGAGCGAACACAGGAGGGCCCACCGAGUCGGAGAGCUGUCGGAUUCUUCAGCCCUGAUUUCUCGUUCAUCUCCUGUGAUCUUGUAAUAGCCUUGAUGCGUGAGUCGAUCGGCAAGUGUUGUUGGUGUCUUUGUAUUUAGGCCGGGUGAAAAAGACCUACUUCUUCUGCGAACUUCUGGGAUGAAACCGGUCGUACAACCCGACCCGACCACCAUGUACACGACGAAGAACCUCGGGACUAGCAAUAGCACAGGCAACAGCUCAUGUGAUUUUCCGCAAAAGGACAAUCCCAGAACUUUAAUUUCCCACCAUGUCCUUCUCCUCCACCCCUGUGCAGUUCAGUCUCCUCGCUCUCCUCUCCGCCACCACAGUUUACUACUUUUACAAAUCUGCCACCUCCGACGCCUCAAGCUCUCCCUAAACCCUAACUCUAGUUCAUCGCCUCGCAGAGGCAAGCCCUUCUUCGUCUCCCAAACUGGCACCUCUGAAGCUCUAGCUCGUCGCUUGCUCGAUUUUCUGACGUCGAAUGGCGUCGCUUUCGACCUCGUCAACCCCAGCAACUACGAGCCCGAGGACCUGCCAAAGGAAACCCUAGUUCUGAUCGUCGCUUCAACGUGGGAUGACGGGAAGCUGCCUCCGAACGCCAGAUUCUUCUCCAAUUGGCUUGCCGAGAACGCGGAGGACUUCAAGGUGGGAUCGUUGUUGCUCUCUAAUUGCAAAUUCGUCGUCUUCGGCGUCGGGAGUCAAGCCUAUGGCGCUACGUUCAAUGUGGUGGGGAAGGACUUGGCUAGGAGGAUGAGGGCGUUGGGUGCUUCUGAGAUUUUUUCGAUUUGGGAAGGUGACGUGGACGGUGGUGAUUUAGACGAGGUGUUUGAUGCUUGGAGUGGGAAGGUGGUGAGGUUUCUGAAGGGUGGUGCGGCGGAAAAUGGCGGGGUUUUGGGUAAUGGGGUUGGAUCAGCUGAGAAAGCAAGAUAUUUUGGCGAUGGAGAUUUGGUAGGACUGUUGGAACUUGGAACUGUGUAAUUAGAGAGAGAGAGACCGUCUGUUAUACUUACCCAUUUCUGGGUUUCUAGAGAGAGAGAUGGGACUGGGAUUUUGGUUUGGUGUUUUUUUUUGUUUUGGUUCCUGAGUUUUGCAUAUCCACAACUGAGAUGAAAAAUUGAGAGAGAACCGACACAACUUUUCGUAUCGAUUCCCACAGACGGCGCCAAAUGUUGAUGCACAAAACCGGAGAUCUUGGUACAACGUAAAUCUGAAUGUGAAUCUGCAUGAAAUGUAAAUAACACAAGAUGUAUCAUGGUUCACCCCAAAGUUUGGGCUACGUCCACACUGAUUGUAUUGUAUUUCUCUGAGAAGUGAGGGAGAGAAAGCUCUGAGAGUGAGAGCUUUGAGAGGGGGUGAGAGGGGUGAGAAAGCUCCAGAAAUAGCCUCCCUUAAUUGUGAGGGUGAGGGGUCCUUUUAUAGAAUAAGGACUCCUCACUUAUUACAUAUUUGCCCCUUCUUUUAUUACAUAAUUACAUUUAAGUCCCCUGAGUAUUUAUACGAGGUCUAAAUACGGAGGCCCUAAAUAUGGUAUAAACAGGUCUAACUUUAACAACUUUGAUGAAAUCUGAAAUUAAUAAUGUUGACAAGAUUUAAUACCAUCGUCGCACUCAACCUCAACUCCAAACCAUGACGUUCAAAGUGAGAACUACCAAUACACUCCCAACCAUGCCUUUGCAAAUCUACAUUCAAACCCCAGGACACCCAUUUUUCUAUGAUCUGGAGGCAGUCUUAAUACAACCACAACCAUUUAAGGGUAUAAGGCCUCGUUUGUUUGACCUCCUUAGCUAGGACUGGACUAGCUAGGACUAAUAACCCAUGUUUGGUAUAGCAAGGGACUAGGUUAAAUAGGAUUAGCUCGGACUCGUGCCGACUAACUCCUUCGCUCACUGAUCUUAGCUAAACCCCUCGAAAACGACGGGAUUGCUAAUCCCAUCUCCACCACCACGAAUAUCCCGCGAACCCAGUCAUCAAAAUCUAGCCUUUUUGCCAACCUCCAUCAUCCUGCGAACCCAACAAACCCAACCUCAUAUUUGCUUUCCGACGAACCCACAACCUAAAUUUCCCGACGAACAGACAAAAGAACAUUUAACACUUAAUCGAUAUGCAGAAACGGGUUCUCCAUUUUCGUCGAUUGAACUGGAAUUAGACCCAUAAAACAAAGAUAACGGUCUUUGCCUAAAGAACUUUGGAUCCGAAAACGAUCUUCGCAAUUUGAGAUCAUUCUGCCACACUGCAACUCCUAUUCCAAGCGUUUCCUUGGAGGCGAAACGAAAUGAAUACAAGGGGAGAGAGGAGAGAGGGGAGAGGGGACAGUGGUACAUAUGUGAAACAUAAGAAAAAGGAAGGGGGAAGGAGGAGACGGAGGGCGGAGAAAAAAAUGGAAAAUAAUACAGAGGGAGGCAUAUAAAACAGAGAAGAAGAGGAGUAGAAAAAAUGGAAAAUGAUAAAGAAAUAAUAAAAUAUUAAUUGAUAUAGAUUAAAUUUUAAAAAAACUAUUAAUAAAUAUAGAUUAAAUAAUAUAAUAUUAUAGUCCUGCUUCUUAGUCCGACACUGCACCAAACGUUUCACUAAGUUAGUCCAGCUUAGUCUAGUCUAAGCCAGUCCAGUUUAGUCCCUGAAGCUAGUCCAGUCCGAGACAGUCCGAUGCAACAAACGCACCCUAAAGGUAUAUUAGUACUUUCAUAUCAAUUUUUUGUUAUAAUUAUGAUAAACUUAAAAGUGUGGCUAUAAUUCUAUAUUGGAUCAAAAUUUUGAUUAUUUUUCCAAAUAUCCGUUUUUUUUUCUUUCUUUUUUGUUGAAUUUGUGUCUUCCACGUUUGUUCUUUUACAUAUUAACGUUUUUUUCUAAUAAAAUUUUCUAAAAAAAUGAAAUAUAACUUUCUGACAAAAUUACCCUUAGGGUUUUUAUAUGUAUUUUUUCUGUCAGUUUUGAUUUUUUUUUGUUCGGAGGGCUUUUUAGUCCAAAAUUUUUUGAUGAAGCCUUGAGACACCAAACUCUCAUUAUAGCUUGUUAAGCCCUAAAUUUCAAAAAUCUAAAAUACUUCUACCCAAACCCUCACAUUUCUCUUACCUAACCCUAAUCUCCCCAAAGUUCCAUCCCUUCCCCCAACCCCAAAACCCUCUUUUCGCUACUUUCACUCCAAGGUUCUUCUCCAAUGACGAUGGUAAGGGUCCCUCCCAAUCAGAUGUUUGGAGGCUUUCUCAGGAAACCGAUGGAAAGUUUGACCCUUUAUUCGGCGAGAGCUCCGGGGACAUUUCCGGGAUUGCAGAAGUUGAAUCCAGCAAGGGCGAGGCCAAUUCCGACUGGUUGAAGGGGAAAGGAGACAUUGCAGGAGUACAAGAUGUGGAGCUUGGGAGAGGAGGCGAAGAAUGAUUUGUUCGAUAUCAGAGAGGGUGUACAGACUGCCAUUGACAGUGAGACAAGAAAAAUGUAGUUUCUUGCAAUCAUAAUGGGAAGCGAACAACAUAGAGAAGUUGAAUGUGGCAAAGCGGCAAGAUGUUUCUUGCAACUCCAAACAGAUCAAUUAGGAAUUGUAUAUAAUCAGAACAAGUUUUAUUAUUAUUAUUUGGGCCAAAUUUCUUGUCCUGUUUGUUUUCCUUUCGGUUAACUCGAUCAGUUAUGGGCUGAUAAAGACACGACACGUACAUUCUUUUUCUUCGGUAUUAUUAUUAUGGUAUUAGUUUCCCCCAGUGUCUUACUAAGUACACCAUAAGUACACCAUUUUUGAGACAUUAGUAGCUGUAAUAAAAUAAUACCUCACUCAUUUAUACCCCGAAAUAACUCACAACUGCUUAUCUUCAUUUUGAACAUAUAUAUGUAGACACUCACAUCAUUCUCAUUUAUAAAUGCCCCUCACACAAAUGUUACUCUAAUAUCACGUUGAUGUUCGAAUAAAACUUAUAAAAUCAUAUCAUUCUCAUUUAUAUAUGCCCCUCACACAAAUGUUACUCUAAUAUCAACUAUGAUGUUAAUUCGAUUAAAAAUUAUAACUUGUUCUUAUUAAUCUAGGUGAUAUAAAGACUGUUAAUAUCACAAAAAGAAAUUGGCCACCGAGUAUGACGAUGCUUAAUUGCAAUUGUGCUUUAUUUGUUUACCAAUUUAGUAGAAAAUGUUCCCACGGUGUUCCCACGUCGCAGAAAAAACAGAGCAAUUGGGUUUAUCUUUUACUGCUAAAAAUCUGUAUACUCCCAUAAAUUUCAACACUUUAUGUAUUUUAGGCACAACCCAUUUCUCAUACGCCAUUAAAACAAAACCCAGUAGAAUUAAAAAACGUAAACAUAACAGUAAGAAGAGGGCAGAGAGACCUAAAAUAGAAGGAAGAGUGCGAGUAGAAUUCUGGGUUUGUUGACGCUGCUUUGAAGCUCUGCAUUUUUUUUACUGAUUGGGUGGUGAUUCCUUCUGCCUGUAUCACUUUAAAGCAAAGAAAAGGUUAAAAAAGACGAUCUUCAUACAACCUUUUACAGUUGGAGAAGGAAGGAGAGAGAGAACAGGAUCCCGUAGGGAGUUUUCAUUCUAUCGGCAUCGCAAGAUAAUGGGGUUUCAGUUUUGCACGGAAGUUUCUAUCCCUUUUUUUUUUCUUUUUUUUUCUUCUCUUUCUCUAAAAACUGAUUUGCGUCCAACCUGGUUGAAUUUGUGUCUUCCAUGUUUGUUAUUUUACAUUUUAUCUCAUUUUUUUCUAAUUUUUUUCUAAUAAAAUUUUCUAAAAAAAUGAAAUAUAAGUUUCUGACAAAAUUACCCUUAGGGUUUUUAUAUGUAUUUUUUCUGUCAGUUUUGAUUUUUUUUGUUUGGAGGGCUUUUUAGUUCAAAAAUUUUUGGUGAAGCUUUGAGACACUAAACUCUCUUUCUGACUUUCUAAUAUUAAAGAUAAAGAUUAUUAUUUUUUGUCUUGUGGAUAUGUUGAUUUUGAUUUUAAUGCAAGAAGUGAUUUCCGUACAUUAUUUUAUUUUGAUUUUUCAAUCCCAAAAACAGAAAUAGACAUGAGUGUAUAGCAGGAGAAAAUGGUGUGAAAGUAACUUUCCUUUUAUUACUAAAUCCAUCGACUGAAAUUAACUCAGCUAAAUUAUUUCCCCUAAUUACCAACUUUACCAUUCUACAACUAGUAAAUUGCCCUAUUGGAUAAGACUAUCAUCUUCAACUUACUACGUCUCAUAUUCAAACAUGCCCCUUCUUUUUAAUCUAACUUAGAGUAGUAAUAUCAAUUGUAAAAAAAGAAGGAUUAACUCUGCACUUGAGGUCUUGUGUUUGAGCUAGUUCUUUUGAACUAAUCUCUAAUAUUAGAAAAUCAUCAGUCAAUUUUUGUGUCUUAAGCUUCACCAAAAAUUUUAGAACAAAAACACCCAUAAAACAGAAAAAUCCAAAACUAAUCCAAAUUAACACAUCAAACACAACAUGGGUAAUUUUGUAAGAAAAGCAUAACAAAUAAAAGAUAAUAAAAAAAGGAAAAAAAGAAAAUGAAACGUGCAAAACUCUGAUGUCGUGGGACUCAAGAGAAAACCACGAACUGACGGACAAGAAAACUGCCAUGAACCACAACUCCAUGUUGAGCACUGAAGAUUAUGAGGAGGGAAAUCUUUCUUUGCUGUUCCUUCUACUUCGAGUGGUUUGGAAGAAAAAAACAGUUCAUCAAUUUCCUUUUUGUUUUCACUUUCUUCCGUUUUCUAAAGGUUCAUCGGGCCCUCGAUCACUCAUUACGACUAGAUCUGGACGACAUGUGGAGACGAGUGCAGGAUGUUUUCAGUUUACUAUCUACAAUUAGACUUAGUGAGAUUACUCUCUGUGGUUCAUCUUCUACUGAUCUUUAUGUCAGAAAACAAUGCCUUCAAACAUUCGGACUUUUGGUACAAGAAGUUAUUUUCAAAGAUGAAUUUGAUAACUCUCCCAAGCACUGGAGAGUUGAUUGGGAUUUCCCUCUUUUCAAUAUCUAAUUGGGGAUUUUUUGGUAAUCAAAUUUUCAGAGCUUCAUUCUUUCUUGUAUCUAGUUGGGUUUCUUUACCUUUUGUUUUAAUAACUUUUCCGAUCUCUAUUCUUUACAUGGACGUUUUUUCUUUCAACAACUCCUCUGCAAAUUGUUGACUUCCUGAAUGACUUCCAUUAUUGCUUUAUAGGUACUCUUUGUUUCUUUGCAAAUAUACGUAUAUCAUUUCAAACUUUGCAAAUUUUGUGAUGAUACUAUUCGGUAGCUUCUUAAAAUUUUUCUUUUUGUUCUCUAUUUUUCUUUCCCCAAAAGGUGGUUCAAUUACAUAAGUUGUGCAUAUAACUGUCAAUGUGGCUUUUGGAAAGAAAAACACUACAUUUUUAGCAUAUAUAGAACAAAGGGUUAGUUCUGUCAGUUUCUCCAAAACAUAUGUUGAGGGAAAAUGUGACGACCCAUCCUAAUUUUCUUAUGUAAUUUAUCCCCUAGUAUGUGUUGACGGUUAUGCCCUUAGUGGCAAGUGACGUGGACACAUUUAUUUCCCUUAAAUUAUUUAUUUCCUCAUAUCACAUUUAAAUUGUACACACUAGUACGAGUCGGCGUAAAUUUUAAAGUGUAAAAAUAUCUACUUCGGACUUAUUUCGAUCUCUUUUUACUGUAGGAAAUCUGAAAUCCUAUCCUUUGGAUUCCUUUUUAUCCUACCCGUGCACCCCCCAUUAUUCACUCACCCAUCACUCCCUCACCAAUCACAUCUCUUCCCACUUCCCUACACCCAAUCAGAAAAAAUAAAAAAAAAUAAAAUAAAGCAUUCUCUCUCUCUCUCUCUCUCUCUCUCUCUCUCUCUCUCUCUCUCUCUCUCUCUCUCUCUCUCUCUCUCUCUCCCCCUUAUACUCGAUCCUCUAUGUAAAGCCAUGAACGAGCUUCAAAGCUCGUAGAUCAAAUUCACAACGUACACCAUUGUAUUCAUCUCAGUCCCAUGAUCACAACCAUGUCCUUGAAAUCUGAUUUAGAUGAGUUUUGACUCACCAACUCGGAAGGUCCGACUCGGUAAGUCUCGGUUCUACGAUUUUCAUGCCAUUCAUAGCUUAGGUAAGCCUUGAGAAACCCUUAGAACCUUCAUUUCAAUUCUAUGGGUUGAUAUUGAUCUCUUGUUUGUGUUUUGAACGUAUGGUUUUACACAGAAAACUCGAGAAGAGAAAAUUGUACGUUUUUCAGUCAUGGACCGUGACAAUUUGGUCACUUUCAACCCAUUUUUCCAGUCACCCUCAACUUUAGCUGGACUUCUAUUAGGUACAAACUUGUUCUCUACAUUCCUAACUUCAAAAUGGCGUUUGAAUCAUUGAGUUUGGUUAAGUAACGAGUUAGAAAUCAACUCUGGAAGUUAGGAAGAAAUUCCAGUUUUCUAGAAAUCUGCAACCAUGGUCAUUUGGCCAUUUUCAGGCCAAAUUCUUGAACAACACGGACCGUAUUUGAACUUUUUGUGAAAUGGGAUCAAUACACCACAUUCCUAGCUUUAAUUUGGUUGUUGUAGAAGUGUUUUUGGUUGAGAAUCGAGCUCGUUAGGAUCUCUAAAGGUUGGCCAAAAAAUCUGCAAAACUGCAGAAAUUCGCGAGGAAGGCGAGUAUGCCUGUACUCGCAAGCGCGUGACCAGUUUGUGCAGCCCCUUAUGGCUAGGGGUGGAUUUUUUUACCAAAUUGCCGUGCCAACCGAAUUACCAACCGUGCCAUACCGAUUUUGUGCCAAAUUUUUUGUGCCAAUCGGUAAUGGUACGGUAUUGUACCGUACCGAAAUUUCUUGGUACGGUAUUGGUAAUGGAUAUCAUUACCACGGUAUUACCGUACCGAACAUAUAAUAUAAUAUAUAAUUUAUAAAUUAUAUAAUAUAUAAUUAUAUAACACAUAUUUAUAAUAUUCUAAUAAUUUGAUAUGAUGAAAGAGGCUCAACCUCGGUUCAAGAUUCCAAAUAGGAAGAAGAUUGCGGCCAAUGUAUGGGAUUUAUAUGUGUUAGAGAAGUCUAAGUUAUUUGAAGCAAUGCAUAAUCAAAAGGUAAGUAUCACAACCGAUACUUGGACAUCGGUACAAACAUUAACUACAUGGUAGUUACCGCUCACUUCAUGGAUAGUGAAUGAAAGUUGCACAAACGGAUCAUAAACUUCAUAAAGAUCACGGGUCAUAAGGGACAAGACAUUGGGAAAGUUCUAGAGGUGUGUUUGAACCAAUGGAGGAUAUAGAAGAUCUUUAGCAUGGGGGAAACUUCUAUUUGUUUUGGUUCGUAACUUCUAUUUGGAUUGUAAGCUUAAUUUUCAUCAUGAAUCUUGAUGCAUCUUUUGAAUUAUUGUGUGUGUGAAUUGUAAAUGAUGAAUAAUAGAUGAAUUUAGGCUACAAUGUAUGAGAUAAAGGUACAAUAAAAAAGUUUUGCCCUUGAAUUGGGUUAAAAAAGCAAAAAACAAAUUUUGUCCCAAAACAAAGUGGCAAUUACCAUUGCCAUACAAUGCCAACCAAAUAUUUGGCAAUACCGAACUUCGGUAUACCGAAAGUUUGGUAUGGUAAUGGUAAUAGAUUUUACCAAACCGAAAGUUUGGUACGGUAAUUGGUACGAGGGUUUUGGUACGGUAACCGUACCGAACCCACCCCUAGUUAUGGCAGCACGUCCUGCCUCCUGUUGGCGUGUGGUUGACAUGUGUGUGUCCGUGACGUCGAGUAGAUCGAUUUCAUAUAUUUAAACCCUAGGUUUGAGCAAACUAUGGGGUUUUUUAUUUAGGUUUCCGUUAUGUGCUUUAAUUAAUUUUAUUUUAGUUAUUUCACAUAUAGGGGAAACGUAUUACGAGGAUGUUCGAGGUCAAGCUAGGCUCGGGGGUUACGACCCAGCGACGUACUUGUGAGUGGGCAGUUUAUUUUUAUAUCUAUACGUAUUUAUAGUUUCCAAAAUUUCAUAAAUGCAUCACUUUGCGUAUAUAUUGCCAAAUAAUUGACAACUGUGAUAUAAUUGUGAUAAAUGUUGUUAUAUGGUUGAGAUAUUACUGUCAUGGCAUUCAUACAUAAUUGUACAUACUCAUCUUGCUGCACCCCGGUGUUAGUACUCGCCCCAGGGCUAGGGCCAGUCCUUAACAUGUAUGUUCACAUCGCACCGUUCGCUCGCCUUGGAUCCAAGUUAGGUGUCAAUCAUGUCGAGUAGAUUGCAUUAGGCAAUCCGACUUGUAUGUGACUGUGCUUUUGCACCAGCCUUCACGUGAUCGUAAUACUAGAGCAUAUUGAUUACACCCAGUCCUGUUCGUGUCAGAAAUUAUCUAUUUGAACUUGUGUGUGUCAGCUUAGAUGAAUGAGCACUUAGCUAUACUUGAUUAUCACUUGAUUAUAUUAUUGUGACAUUUUAUACGUCAUAACUUGGCAUAUAUUUGGUUAUAACUCUGUUAUAGUAUUGUUGAUUUAUCGUUUACAUACCUAUGUAGUAUGUUUUAAGGAAACUAUACUUGUUUUACGGCGAGGGGUUAAUAUAUUCAAAGAUAAAGCUUUUCUUAUAAGCAUUGUUUUGCUGACCCACUCAACUUUGUUUUUUGCCCCUCCAGGACCUAGAUAGUUGUACUCUUUGUGGCACUCGAGGAAUCUUGGCAGUUCUGACAUUUAUUUCUGUUUAGACGUACGAAUUUAUCACUGUUAUGUAAUAAGUGUACUUUAAUUAUUUUGAUUACUCUUCUGUAGUCUCACUGUCUAUUACACUUUGAAUAAUUGUAGUGGGUUCACCCCACGAUUGCACUUUUUCACUGUUUAGUUCUAAUUAAUUUUAAUUUUAUUCACUUUUUGUAUCGCUUAUUCUUAUGGUUACGUCACCUCAUGGUGAUGGCUAGCAUGCUUCGACCUUUCCAAGCCGGGGUGUGUCAGAAAAUGUAUAAUUCGCAUUUGACACGAAUUUCAUUAUUAAGAUCACUUUCAUCUGUUAAUUUAACUGUUAUAUUAAUUUUUUCUCAUGUUAUCUUUCACAAAAUAUGGAUAAAAACAUGUACGAAAUGUUUUUUGUAGUACAUAUGUCUUUAUGCAUGCACAAAUGUAGAAGAGCUAAAAGAAUCUUUGUAUGUCGUGCGUAACGCGCUAUGAUGUAAAAAAAAGCCUUUCAAAUGCGCAAAGUGUGUGCAGAAAGGCUAGUAUAUUAUUAAGGCUUUAUUUAUAUAUUCUUUUAUAGAGAACUAAUCUCUUAGCUAAGGUUAGGAGAAAAGCCUAUGUAAAUUCAUUAGUUUGAUUUGAUUUGUGCGUUCAACAUUAAAUUCUUAUUAAUGGUUUGUUCAAUUCAAUUUUUACGAGAAAAUGGUGUGUGAAAAUAACUUUCCUUUUAUUACUACAUCUAAAUUUCUAAUGGCUGAAAUUGACUGAGGAAAUUUUUUUUUCCUUAAAUACCAACUUUGCCAUUCUACAACUGGUGAACCACCCUAUUGGAUAACACUUUUGUCCUCAACUCAUUGCGUCUCAUGUUCAAACAUUCUUCUUCUUCCUAAAUAUAACUUAGAGUAGUAAUACUGUUUGUAAAAAAAAAAAAAAAUAUAUAUAUAUAUAUAUAUAUAUAUAUUAUCCUUUUAAAAUUUAAAAAUCAAAUAUAUAGCAUUCCGUCUAUAUGAAUAAAAAACAUUGGUAAGAUAUAUGGUAAAAAGAAGGAUUAACCAUGCACUUGAUGUCUUGUGUUCGAGCUCCUUCUUUCAAACUCAUUAAUUAUUAAGGUUUUAUUUAUGGAUCAUUUUGGUUCCAAUCCCUAAUCAACCUAAUUGUUAGACUGAAAUCUUGUUUGUUUAAAUAUUUUGAUCGAGAUUCUUAGCAUCAUUUAAGAGAUCUAACUCAUGGAUUUAUGCAUUUAAUGUUCCACAAAUUAUGAAAUUUAAAAAAAUCAAAUAAUAUUUUAAAAAUAUAAUAAAUACUUAAAAAUCAAUUUUAGAGAAACAUUGUUCUUCACAAAAAUUAUAGCAAAAAUAAUAAUGUACCCACAUAAUUAUUAAAAUAUUUUAAAAAAUAACUAUUGAUAUAUUUUAAAAUAUAACAUAAAUACAUAUAAUUAGCAUGGUUACAUUUAGCAAAAUAAAAAAUGGGUACAAAUAAAUUAAAAAUAUGGGUACAAAUACAAAUCAAAGUUAUAAAAAAUAUAGGCACACAAAAGAUUUAAUAUAUCGAUUCUAUUGUAGGCCUAUUUGACCGAACUAUAUUUAGGACUAGAGAGGGAGAGAGGCCGACGACAAGAGAGAGAAGAGAGAGAUUUAAUUGUGAUGUGUGUGUUGUAUAACCCCAUUGUGCAUUUAUUUAUAGUAGUGGGAUAUGUUAAAUCCUUACCUUUUUAGACAACUCUAAUAGGAUAUUAACUACUAAAGAGAAUAUUCAAAGAUAUCCCUAGAUACACUAGGAUUUACACAAUCACAUUCCUACUCUAAAUAUGACUGCAACAUUCCCCCUCGAGUGUGUAAAUACUCAAACAAAACAUCGCAUCAUAUCUUCAGCAGAUAAGGUAGAACAGUUGAUGAAGUCGGUGGCACAAUGGGCGAAUGCGAGUCUCAAAUUUAAAGAAAGUAUGCACUGGUAGUAAAACUCACAAAACCUCGCUAUGAUAAAACCUAAGGUAGGUGAAAACCCAUGGAUUAAGGAGAAAAGUGAGAAGUAUGCAUAAUGUCAAAAACAAACAUCAAACAUGAUGAAAGUAGUGAACUCAACGGAGUAUGAUCAUCCCAGGAUGGGCGCCUCAUAAAAAAGAGUACAUUAAGAUCAAGUCGUAUGCUUUAAGAUACUUCCCCUGAAAUAAUUUACGCAUACCGAUUCCUUGGACGAGCUUCUAAAAAGUAGACUUGGGCAAUGACUUGGUAAAAAGAUCAACCAGGUUGUCCUGGGAACAUAUUUGCUUAACUUCAAUGCUCUGAUGCUGUUGUUGCUAGUGAGAAUAAAAGAAUUUUGGCGCUAUGUGCCUGGUGUUGUUUCCCUUGAUGUAUUCUUUCUUUAAUUGCUUGAUAUAUGUUGCAUUUUCUUCAAAGAUCUUCGUAGGAAGGUCAAAGACAGCAGUAAGACCACUAGUGCUUUAAAUAUGUUCCAUGAAUGCUCUCAACCAAAAGCAUUCACACGAUGUUUCAUGCAGGGCAAAGAUUUCAGCAUAGUUCGAAGAAGUCGCAACUAGCGUUUGCUUAGUAGACCUCCAAGAUAUAGCGGUGUCUUCAACGAUAAAAACAUAACCCGUUUGAGAACAUGCCUUAAGUGGGUCAGACAGAUAUCCAGCAUCUGCAUAACCAAUAACCCGGGAAUCAACUUAAGAAUCGAAGGGGACGGCGGCUCCCCUCGAGGAUUCGUGGGUGUAGAACAAGCCCAAAUCUGGCGUACCCUUGAGGUAUCAGAAAAUGUCUUUAACACCAUUCCAGUGUCUUCGUGUGGGCGAAUUGCUAUAUCUAGCCAAAAGUUUAACAGCGAAAGAGAUAUCAGGUCUAGUGCAUUAAGCCAAGUACAAUAAAGCACCAAUUGCACUUAGGUAUGGAACUUCAGGCUCCAAAAUCUCUUCCUCAUCCUCCUUAGGAUGGAAGGGAUCUCAUUUAGCAUUUAGAGUCUGAACGACCAUAAGAGUACUCGAAGGCUUCGUUUUAUCCCCAUUAAAACAUCGCAACACCUUUUGGGUGUAGUUCGAUUGAUGUACUAGGAUUCCAUCUAAACAAUGCUCGAUCUCCAGGCUGAGACAAUAUCGAGUUUUCCUAAGAUCUUUCAUCUCAAAUUUCGAUUUCAAGUGAACAUCAUUUUCUCAAGCUUUACAAAAGAUCCGAUGAGGUUCAUGUCGUCAACAUAAACUACAAUGAUCGCAAAUUCAGAAUGUGACUUCUUUAUAAACACGCAUGGGCAUAAUUCGUUGUUCACAUUACCCUAACUUGUCAAAUAUUCACUCAGACGGUUAUUCCACAUCCGCCCCGAUUGUUUCAAUCCGUAGAGUGAUCACCUUAAUCAAAUAAAGAGAGUGUUCCGUGAUCUAGAACUAUUUAAACCAGUCAAUGGAAGUCAUUUUGGAACUUUCAUGUAGAUUUUCAUAUCUAGAUCCUCAUAAAGAAACACGGUUACCAUGUCCAUAAGCUGCAUAUUCAGUUUUUCAGAAACUACCAAACUAAUAAGGUAGUAGAACUUAUGACGUCCAUUAUAGAGGAAUACGUCUCCUUGUAAUCAAUCACAGGGCGUUGAGAAAAGCCUUAUACUUUCUAUUUCUAGCCCUCUGAAAUUAACAGAUUUAAGGGAGGGACACUACGAGGCGUGCUUUGUAUCGCACUAUUUCAUUUUUUUCAUUAAGCUUCCUCACAAAAACCCAUUUGUAGCCCACAGGCUUCACAUGUGGUAGGGUAGAAGCUAUAGGUCUAAACACCUUAUGUUUCACAAGCAAAUCGAGUUCGACCUGGAUUGCUUGUUUCCAGUUUGACCAAUUCGUUCUACGUCGGCAUUCAUUAACAGAACGUGGUUCAAUGUCAUCGCUAAGCAUGAUGUCAGUAGUUACUGUGUACUCAAAUGCAUCAUCAACAAUCAUCUCAUUCUGAUUCUAAACCUCAUCCAAUAUUGCAUAGUGGACCGAAAUCUCAAGAUUCUCAGGAGGUCGGGCUGUUUUAUCUAAAACAUCACCGUAAUCUAGAAUAACCUCAUGUGUUGGAACAGAUGAGCGAGCGAUGGUCAGAUUCAAACUAGGGUCACUAGUUUAUGCCGUUUUCCUCUUCUGGGGUUGUGAAUCCUUUGAACCAGGGGGUCUGCCAUGCUUUAGGGUAGGAGCGGAUGAUUGGCUAGCCGCCAAUGUACUGGGCCACGUAGAAGUCACGUAAAGGUGCAGCCUCCCCACUUUCGGGGACGGUUCGGUCUUCCCAGGUAGUAUUACAACAUACUUGAGGUUCGUAUAUCCUUUUGUAGUGGGUAUAUGUGAUCUUGUCACCUUUGCUAGAUUAGUAAAAACAUCAUCAAUGAUCAUCUUAUUCUGAUUCCAAACCUCAUCCAAUACUGCACAAUGGACCGAAAUCUCACGAUUCUCGAGGGGUUGGGUUAUCUCAUCUAAGACAUCACUGUAAUCUAGAAUAACCUCAUGUGUUGGAACAUAUGAGUGAGCAAUGGUCGGAUUAUCUUCCCCGGAAGUGGCUUUUGAAGCCUUGGAAAUCGGUAAGGCUUUGGAAAUAGAUAAUAAUAUAUAAUAUAUUUGUUUAAUAAUUGUGGAAAUCCAUCUGACAGAGGGGAGUCAUUAUUAUCUUCCCCGAGAGUGGUUGAAGCCUUGGAAAUCGACAAGCCUUUAUUUCGGGGUUUCUCAUUUCCUCUCUCUUCCAUUCUUCUUCGAUUGCUCCGCCUGAUUCCCCAUAUUCUCUGCCUAAUUUCCAUCUUCUUGCUCUGUAUAAUUUUCCAAAAUUUAAUCAUGAGUCUUGUUAAAUUCCUCAAGCACAACGAAGAAAUCCUCUACGGCGAAGAAAUUUGAAGCUUCCAGGUCAAAGUUCUCGUUUUUUCUUUCUUUCUACAAUUGCACUAUUAUUCUAAUUCCUUAUAUAGAUAUAUCUCACGCUUAUUCUUCCCUCACGCUCUCUUGGUUGCUCUUUUCAAAUUUUAUGUCGUCACCCUCGCGAUGUAGUGAAAUGGUGAAAGUAUAAUAUUUUAACAGAACCAUCGCGGAGGCCGCUUAGCCCGGCACCUAGGUUGCCUAGCAUGCCUAGUCAGCAACCUAGCACGCUUAGUCAGCAGCCUGGCAACGCCUAGUCGGAUCCCUAGCACCGCCUAAUACCCUUGCCGAUUUACUGAACGUUUUUGAAAUAAUCACGGUGGCGGCCUGACGCCCAGUGCCUAAGCAGCCGCCCAUACCGCAUUUUAGAAAACUGGCUGGUCGACACCUGGAAGGUGGCGAAGCCAUAAAGUGUAGUGAUGUGAAAAAUGUGAAUAAAUUUAAACCUACAAGUACCUAAAUAUAAGAGUGCACUAGUCAGCAAGAACCCAUUUUACAAGUGAUGACAGAGUAUACGUAAGAUACAGUAGGUAGGAUAAAGAUUAUACCCUCAAAGGUAGCCACCCAUACUGAGAUUUGCCAAGAAUCCUCGUCGAUACAAAAGUUCAGCAGCUAAGACCUGGAGGGGCAAAAAACAAGGGGUGAGUGGGCCUGAAAAUAGAGUUUUAUAAAAACCUUUCUAAAAACAUUGUAACCGUAGCCUGCAAAAUCUCAAAAAUAUACUUACUACGUAUAGUAUAAAAAUACUUACCGUAGCCUGCAAAAUCUCAAAAAUUCAUUACGGCACAAUAUCUUGUAACUAAGGGCAGGAUAUCCAAAAUCACAAAAUCCUAACAGUAAUAUAAGUAAAAUCAGGUGCUCAAACAAUUUAUGCUAGCACACAAGUCGGAGUUGCCUAAUGCGACCUGCACGACUGAACUAAUGUUCAUCAAUCUAUGCUAGCACAAGAGUCGGAGUUGCCUAAUGUGACCUGUACGACAGAACUAGGUGUAAUCAUAAUAUACGCUUUAGUGCUACAAUCACAUGAAGACUGGCGCUAUUUGCGGUCACCUACGAGUCGGAGUUGCCUAAUGCAACUUGUACGACAGGACUGGCACCUACUUGGAUCCAAGGCGAGUGUGCGGUACGGAGGUGAACAUACACGUGAAAGACUGGCCCUGGCCUUGGGCGAACACUAACACCGGUGUGCAACAAUGAUGAGCAGACUACAUAAAUAUAAGCAUGCCAUAACAAUUCAAUAAUUUUAGUCAACAUAAUAAACUUACAUGCAUAUCCCAUAGGAUUUAGCAUAUCUCAUAAAUUCCGUCAUUUUCACUAAUUCUUAUAAACUUUAGUCUAAUCCAAGUGUAUGUAAGAAAUUCUUGUUUAAAUGCAUAAAUGAAAACUAUCAAUCAUACAUAUAUACUAUAAAAAGGAAAAGACCCACUCAUAGAUCACGUUGUUGAGUCGAACCUACCUCGUAUCAUCGAGAGUCCUUGUGAAGCGUUUCGCCUAAAAACAAAACCAUUUAGGUAAAUAUAACGUAUUAAUGUAAUUACGCGUUUUCGUACAAAGUAUGGCUAAUAAAGGAACUAUCUUAAAAUGGUCGAAUUUCGAAAAAUGGAUGGCGGAUUUGGAAUCAACGAGUUGAAAUACGGUAAGGAGGGUCCCUGGUAAAUUUUGUAAAAAGUCAACGGGAAGGUCGACGGUCAACCCUAAAAAAGGUCAACCGAGGCGUCUCGAUGGUCAACUAUGUUAAAACUUUAAAAUUUCACUAAAUGGAUGUCAAAAACAGACUCGGUGCGUCGAAAUUAGCCUAGGAGGGUUCCCGAGAAAAUUUCAAAAAAUCAACAUAAGGAAUAUUCUUAGAAUAUUCUCAGCCCAUUUAGAAAAUUAGGCUAGGUUAGGAACAUUGGCCCAAGGUUUGGGCUGUUUGGGCUAAGGAUUUGGGCCAACAACUUUGGACCAGUUUUGGGCCUAAGGCCCCUUUUUUUUUUCUUCUUCUUCUUCUUCUCCGACGGGUCGUCGGAUUAUGGGAAAAGUUAGCCGGGAAAAUUCCAAUUGCUCUAACUAAUUCAUCUCUCAACCAAAAUCCAAAAUUCAAAAGUCAAAAUAAAGCUUAGGAGUUAAGGAAUUGAAAUGUACCAAUCCGAGGUUGAGUCGUGACAGGAAAUGGUCCGAAAUGAAUUGCAAUGCCGGAGCUUCGCUGAAAAAUUUGGGGAAGUUUUCCCGACAUGAUUCCUACAUCUAAACACCCAUAAACCGUCUCAAAACAUCCCAAACGUAGUCCUAGUCAUGAUCUACAAAUUUAUAAGAAUGUUUUAGGCCUUACCUUCGUCGGAGACGGCGAGAACUCGCCGGACUCAAUUUUUGCAUAAUGACUGUAUUAUGCGGUGAGGAAGAGUGAGAGAACGAGGGUUUCGAUCUGGGUUAAGUUCGUGGUGGGGAUGCUUAUCGAGUGAUGUUCGCUAGAAAUGACGAGUGGUGGUGGUUUGUUCAAGGUGGUCGCACCCUCUCGGUGCUUGCCGAGGAAGAAGGAAGAGAGAGAGGUGAAAGACAGAUGCGGGAAAGAUAGAGUGAAGAGAGAGAGAGGGUCCCUGAGAUGAGGGAAAUAGGCCACGUGGUGAGAGAUGAGAUGAGAGUUAAGUGAGGCAUAGACCCCACGGGCCAAAAUAAAUUAUACAAUAUUCAAAAUAUCUCCUCAGAAAGUAUUAAAAUAUUAAAAUACCCAAAAAUUCAAAUUUCACAAAACACCUCGAGUUUCGUAGUUCCGUAAAAUAGUAGCUUAUACACGUCACAAAAAGGCGGUCAAUGAAAGUCGACGAUUUCACCUCUAGGCACAUUUUGUCAAUUCACUCUUUUAGAAUUUAUAAAAUCGUAUAAUUAGGGACGGGUUGUCACAAUCUACCCACCUUAAAAAAAAAAAAUUCAUCCCUGAAAUUUGAAAUCAUUUGUUAUUCAAAAAUAGUGAAAAGACAGCAAGAAAAUAAAUAUGUAAAGAAGAUAUCAAGUUACGGUUGCAUAAAAGAGAAUGUCAUUCAACCGUGAUCGAAGUGCAGUGAUUCCUCUUUCAUGCCUCCAAACUCAUACUUUCUUUCUCCUUCAGUACAAUACUAUAAUAUAAUACUUAUUACAUAAACAAUAUGUCUAAAGUAUUUAUAUAUGUAUAAAAACAUCCCGUCAAAAUACAUAUAUAAUAAUGUAAAGUUAAAGUAAUUCUAUUGAAAUUAAAACUGAACAUAGAGUAUUUUUCACCUACGCACUUGAUGCGUUACGUACUCGGAAGGUAAGGAGUGUGUCAUAAUUCAUCAAUUUGAUUCUUGAGAUUUGAAAUUGCUAAAAAUGAUCCUUAAAUAAGGAGUAAAUGAUAAAAAUAACCUCAAUUCAAUAAACAAUGAUCCAUAAUAAUUUGACAAAAAUUGAAGAUAAUUUUGUUUUUCUUACUAAAUGAUCAAAAUAAUUGAUGGUGAAUAAAAUCAGAAAUCUCACUUUGAAGAAACGAAACUUCCGACUUGGUGGGCUGCGACUUUUGACUGAUUGAGAGUCCUCUAUCCACAGCUCCUCUAUCUUCCUCCUAAACCUUUUACCUUUCUUUUUUUCUUCUCCAAAGCUAGCAAGCUGAGAUUUCAACCUCUCCCUCUAAGAGGCAGCGACAUGCUUUUCCAAAUGCAGUCUGCAAUUUAAUCAAACAGCCAUCGAAUUUUCUGGAAUCCGGUCAACGCAGAGAUGCUUCGGAUUUUGACCGGUCAACGCUAGCUGCUUACCUGAGCUCCAACAGACCCAACAGUGAUAACGUCCUCCACCUCUGUUUCUGUUUGGAUGAUUAUGCUGUUUGGCUUCUUUCACCUCCGCAAGCUUGCUGCCAAUGUCGAAGGUAUGUCUCUGUGUGUUAUUGAAUUUGGGAGUGUUUGGUUGUGGGAACUGGAAUGAACUAAUGAAUGAAUGAACGACUGGAAACAUUCCCGAAGAGGUUGGAUCUUUACUUGGCAACCUUGCAAAACUGCGUUUCCUGUAUGAACCCCCAUCCUUUUGUUAGAGAAUAUCUGUCAUCUUUCUUUUUCAUUCGAUAUGCUAAUCUCCAGAGUCCAUUUUUAACAUCAAUUUAGGAAAAUUCUGAAGUUUUAACAUAGUUGACCAUCGUGGCGUUUUUGUUGACUUUUAGGGUUGACCGUUCAAUUUUCGUUGACUUUUUACAAAAUUUGCCCGGGAUCCCUCUUAGCGUAUUUUGAUGCUCUGAUUCCAAAUCUGCACUUCGUUUUCUCAAAUUUGAUCGUUUAAGUUGAGUUUUACUAAUGGGUCCCAAUAUUAUACUUGGGCGCGAUUAGUAUCAGAGAUUUCAACUUUCUUAGCUCAAAAGGAUGUGACAUCGUAAGUACCUGUGAGUGGGUCUUUUCUUAUAUAUAUAUAUAUAUAUGUUAGUUUCCAUUUAUAUAUUUGGUAAAGAAUUUUCUACGUUACACCUAGAUUAGGGUAACGUAUAUAAAAAUUAACGUAUUUACGGAAUUCAUGCAAUUAUACUACAUCUUACAGGAUACACAUGUAUGCGUAUUAGUAUGGAUGCUUUAAUGAUAUUUACGGUUAUGAAUAAUAUUUUGACUAGGGUUAUUGAAUUAUCAAAUUAUCAAUUUACCAUUGCAUGAUCAUAUUUGUGUUAUCUGCUUAUUGUGUGCUGCACUGGUGUUAGUACUUGCCUGAGCGAGGGCUAAUCUUUCAGGUGUAUGUUCAUAUCGCAUCAUAUGCUCACUUUGGAUCCAUUGUAGGUGCCAGUCAUGUCCUAGAUUGCGAUAGGCAAUUAGGACUCGUAUGUGACGCACUUAGCGCCCGUUCACGUGAUUGUAGUACUAGAGCGUGAAUCAUUAUUACAUCUAAUUCUGUUCAUGUCAGAAUACCUCUGCAUGAACUCAUGUGUCAACAUAUGCCAAUAUGGACUCGAUGUGAUAUGUUUAUUUUUGCGAGAUACUGUGAUUACUAGAAAUUAUGUACCUAUUUACAAAUUUUGUGACGUAUUGAAUUCUUGAGAUUUUGCAGGCUACGGUAAGUAUUUUCAUACUAUAUUUUGGAAAUAACCUCAAUUCAAUAAACAAUAGGUCAUAAUAAUUUAACAAAAAUUAAAAAUAAUUUUGUUUUUUGACAAAAUGAUCAAAAUAAUUGAUGAUGAAUAAAAUCAGAAAUCUCAUAACAAAGUUAAGAAUUGCAUAACAAUUUCAAGAAUCAGCUAAAAAGUCAAAAAUAAAUAUAAACAAAUGAAGAAACGAAACUUCCGAUGCGGCGGGCUACAGCUUUGCCUGAUUUUGCUGUUUAUUUUAACGAAAAAUCAUAUUUUUACACUAAAAAGUCAAUCAUGAUACUUUUCACUUUACUCUUUAUUUUAUCAUUAUCGUUAAAACUCAAAAUUUUCAAAUCAUUUUAAUUAGUUUUUCUUUAAAAUAAUUUAUAGUGGAUAAAACCAGAAAUCUCAUUUUGAGUGAGGAGUUGCAUAACAAUUUCAGGAAUCCACUAAAAAGUAAAAAAUAAAUAUAAACAAAAGAAGAAACGAAACUUGCGACGUGGUGGGCUGCGACUUAAGACUGAUUGAGAGUCCUCUAUCCGCAGCUCCUCCGUCUUCCCCCCGAACCUUUUACCUUUCUUUCUUUCUUCUCCAAGACUAGCAAGCUGAGAUUUCAACCCGUCUCUCUAAGAAGCAGCGGCAUGCUUUUCCAAACGCAAUCUGCAAUUUAAUCAAACAGCCACCGAAUUUUCUGGAAUCCGGUCAACGCAGCGAUGCUCCGGAUUUUGAUCGGUCAACGCCAGCUGCUUACCUGAGCUCCAAAAGACCCAACAGUGAUGACGUCCUCCACCUCUGUUUCUGUUUGGCUGAUUCUGCUGUUUGGCUUCUUUCACCUCCACAAGCUUGCUGCCAAUGUCGAAGGUAAUGCUCUGUGUGUUAUUGAAUUUGGGAGUGUUUGGUUGUGGGAACUGGAAUGAACUAAUGAAUGAAUGAAUGACUGGAAACAUUCCCGAAGAGCUUGGGGGUUUGUCGGACUUGGUGAGCUGGAUCAUUACUUGGCAACCUUGCAAAACUGCGUUUCCUGUAUGAACCCCCAUCCUUUUGUUAGAUAAAAUCUGUCGUCUUUCUUUUUCAUUCGAUAUGCUAAUCUACUGUUUUUAAUUGUUCCUUUGGAGUGACUUUCUUCCUUAAAGUCCAUGAUAGCAUUUCGGUUAAACCCAAAAUAUUACUUGGGUUGACUAUGAUCUCCCAAUAUUCUGGUCAAGGCACAAUACAAAACAAGUGAUAAAACAAUACGAAAAAAGAACAAAACAUGGGAAAACACGUAAUUGGAACCUUGAAGGCAAAUAUUCCAUGUGCCGGAUGCAUACAAUUUAAAAUAUGACCCCUGUCUUCAAGAUUCAUAAGAAGGGAACAUCCAAUCAUUGCAAGUCCUGUGGGUUUCAUACACUUUCAUCUCUGUAAGAGGGAGGAAGAGCGAAAAGUUACUAAUUUCUCCGCUAUCAGAGAAUGCUAAUAACAUUUAGUUUUGCCAUGGAAUGCAGGGAUCUUUCAAAUAACAAUCUGACGGGGGAUCUUUUUCACUUUUUACUCCCAUCACAGGUUUGUUCUAAAGUGAAUUACAUGCAGGUUUUUACAACUUAUACUUUUUCACUUUUAACGGGCUGAGCCCAAAUCCUAAACUUAUUACUUUCCAGAUGGCUCUGUUUUGUUCCACUUCCAGCCUCUCCACAUCCAGGUUUUUACAACUUAUACUGUUCUUGUGAUAUUAACUCAAAUUUAUUCUGAGAGCUGGCUCUAUUUUGUUUCACAGACACUUGUGAUAUCAACUCCAGUCCAGUCCUAGUUAAUGUUUUUUUUGGUGUUUUUCUGUUAAAACUUUUCGUAAUACAACAUUAUUGUUGGAAUCACUGCUGUAAAGAUUUUAAGAAGAUGGUAGUUAGGAAAGGAAUAGAUUGAGGGUAUUUAUAUUAUUCUGAUUAGAAAGUUAAGUGAAUUUAUUGUUUUUGAUUUGUAAACAAAUUGCUUACAAAUAAUCAAAUUCUAUUAAACAAAAAUAAUUGCUUACAAUAAAGUAUAACUAUAAAUAUCAUUGUAAAAUGUAUUUUAUAAAUAUUUUUAAUUUAUGUUUUUUAACGAAUUGAGAACGAAUCAAACUGAAUAUCAUAUUGUCUAUGUGUCUUUGGCAAAUGAUACUACAGGUUACUACCGAAUUUCGUACCUUAACCGAAUUGCGAACUCGAACCAUACCCUGUAUGUGGCAACUAUGGGUGCCAAGUACUGGGGCUAUUUCUGGAGGGGGGCUAUUGCUGGAGGGGUUGCUGCUGGUUCUGCUUUCCUGUUUGCUGCACUUGCAAUUGCAUUUGCUUAUUGUCGACGAAGAAAAUCACAGGAUUAUUUCUUUGAUGAACCUGGUUAGUGAACUAUUAAGAGUAAUAUAGCUUGAUCAAGUUGGCAUUGUAUGGGAUGCAGGUUUCACUCAUCUACUGUCUUUGCAGCUGAGAAGGAUCCAGAAGUUCAUUUACGACAGUUCAAAAGGUUCUUUGAGCGAGCUACAAGUUGCGACGGAUACCUUUAGCGACAAAAAUAUUCUUGGUAGUGGUGGAUUUGGUAAGGUUUAUAAAGGACGCUUAGAUGAUGGAACUCUGGUUGCUGUAAAAAGACUUAAAGAGGAGAGAACCCAAGGCGGGGAGCUACAGUUCCAAACAGAAGUUGAAAUGAUUAGCAUGGCUGUCCACCGCAAUCUGCUUCGUGUGCAUGGUUUUUGCACGACACCAACAGAAAGGCUGCUUGUAUAUCCUUUUAUGGCCAAUGGAAGUGUGGCAUCAUGUUUAAGAGGUACUCAUCUAAAUUGUUUGCUGCGUUGAUGAAUCUUUUUGUUUUCAUGACAUUAAAAUUUUUUUGGAUUACAUUGAUAUAAUGAACCUGACCAAUUUGGUUUGGAGUAUGAACACUGAUUUUUUUUUUUUAAUGUUUUUUUUUUCCUUCAAUUUUAAGUUAUCUUCUCGAUGCUGAUUUUAUUUUGUUUAAUUUGAAAAGGAUGACAAGAUGACCCUUUUUUGGGUAGGACGGGUGGUAUGAUAUGUGUUAGACCACAUUACCUGUUGCUUGUAAUUUGAAAUUCUCCUCUCAUAAGUAUGUGGAUAUAUUAUUGUAGAUCGUCCAGAAGGACAACCUGCACUUGAUUGGCCAAUAAGACAACGCAUUGCAUUGGGAUCUGCAAAAGGUCUUGCUUAUUUACAUGAUCACUGUGAUCCAAAAAUUAUUCACCGUGAUGUGAAAGCAGCAAACAUAUUGUUGGAUGUGGAAUUCGAAGCAGUUGUUGGAGACUUUGGGUUGGCUAAACUCAUGGACUACAGGGAUACACAUGUUACCACAGCUGUACGUGGCACAAUUGGUCAUAUAGCACCAGAGUACUUUUCAACUGGAAAAUGUUCCGAGAAAACUGAUGUUUUUGGAUACGGAGUCAUGCUUCUUGAACUCAUCACUGGGCAGAGGGCUUUUGAUCCUCAGCUUGCGAGUCAUGAUGACCCCAUGUUAGUUGAUUGGGUAUGCAUUUACAUCUUUCUGUUUGUGUAUGUAGCUAAUUUAUUGUUAUAUGCAAGAUUAUUAUUUCUUGGGAGCAGCCUCUCCAUAAAUGGGGGUAAGGCUAGCCGACAUUCACCUCUUCCAGACCCUGCGUAAAGCGGGAGCCUUGUGCACUGGGUACGACCUUUAUGCAAGAUUAUUAUUUCCCAACAACAUUUGCAUUUCCUUAGUAAUUAGCUUUUAGAAAAUAAGUUUGGUUUAAUUAGCUUUUAUUAGUUAGAGUUGUGAUUAGCUGUGAAGAUUUGUUUAUCUUUAUUUAUAACAAUCUAAGGUUUAAGCUGUCAGAGUUAAUUUUUGCAUUUCCUUAGUAAUUGUUACCAUUCCUGUUUGAUUAAUGUAAAAAUCACUUGUCUUUUUGGCCCGAAUGUUGAAAACAGUAAGAAUCAUGGAUCAAAGAAAAGAAAUAAUACUUAACUUUUAGAAAAUAACUUUAGUUUAAUUGGCUUUUAUUAGUUAGAGUUACGAUUAAGCUGUGAAGAUAUAUUUAUCUUUAUUUAUGACAAUCUAAGGUUUAAAUUGUCAGAGAUUAAUUAUUACAUUUCCUUGGUAAUUGUUGUUAGUAUUGUUGUUGCUUCUUUUGCCAAUGUAUUGGCCUUGCUGUGAUUUCUUGAAGAAUUUGGCAUGUGUUUUGUAUCGAUCCUAAUUUCCUCAUCAUCUCUUUAUUCUCGCUAUCUUGGCCUCUUGCUUCUUUCUAUUCUCUCUAUUUGCAUCUUUGUCAAUUGUUAUAUUUGAAUGACGAUGCAUUUUUGUAAGCUAUUUGAUUUUCUGGAGAUACUGCGGCCCUUCAAAUUUUGAACAUUACAACACAUUUUCACUCUCCUAGGUGCCCUCACCUUUUGUUUCAAAUUGUAGAACUAUCUGACGUUUUCCGUUUUAUUUUAACUAAAACAAUUAGGUCAAAAGACUACUGAAAGAUCGAAGGUUGGAAACACUUGUUGAUGCUGAUCUAAAUGGUAAUUAUGUUGACGAUCAAGUGGAGCAGCUCAUCCAAGUAGCUCUACUGUGCACACAAGGCACCCCAGGGGAACGACCCAAGAUGUCAGAGGUUGUUCGGAUGCUGGAAGGCAAUGGUUUGGCUGAAAGAUGGGAGGAGUGGCAAAAAGAGUAGGUGUUCCACCAAGAUUUCAACCCUAUUCAUCAUCCAAGUACUAAUUGUAUCAUAGACUCAACUUUUCAUAUUCCUCCUGAUGAGUUGUCCGGUCCCAAAUGAUAUGCUCGUUGGUUCUGUCCCCUGUAUACAUCUAAGAAGCCUUCAGAGGACUGGAGAAUGUCCAUUUCGUAUUUCAGUGAUACCACAUUUGUG
RNAcentral lists this long non-coding RNA (31755 nucleotides) under Malus domestica (apple). Its description in RNAcentral is "long non-coding RNA (MDOM_LNC015879)". Lineage: Eukaryota; Viridiplantae; Streptophyta; Magnoliopsida; Rosales; Rosaceae. The record is from RNAcentral.